AUACUUACCUGGCAGAGGAGAUACCUGAUCAUGAAGGUGGUUUUCCCAGAUAGAGGCUUAUCCAUUGCACUCCUGAUGUGCUGACCCCUACGAUUUCCCCAAAUGUGGGAAACUGGACUGCAUAAUUUGUGGUAGUGGGGGACUGUGUACAUGCUUUCCCCUG
Diceros bicornis minor is the source of this 163-nucleotide small nuclear RNA. RefSeq annotates it as U1 spliceosomal RNA. Lineage: Eukaryota; Metazoa; Chordata; Mammalia; Perissodactyla; Rhinocerotidae. The transcript has a single exon. The record is from RefSeq and is a predicted model, not a curated record.